Molecule: ribosomal RNA, 397 nt
Filed under: uncultured bacterium
Lineage: Bacteria
Description: partial 16S ribosomal RNA
Rfam family: Bacterial small subunit ribosomal RNA
Source: RNAcentral
AUACGUAGGGGGCGAGCGUUGUCCGGAAUGACUGGGCGUAAAGGGCGUGUAGGCGGCCGAUUAAGUCUGGAGUGAAAGUCCUGCAUUCAAUGUGGGAAUUGCUUUGGAGACUGGUUGGCUUGAGUGCGGAAGAGGUAAGUGGAAUUCCCAGUGUAGCGGUGAAAUGCGUAGAGAUUGGGAGGAACACCAGUGGCGAAGGCGACUUACUGGGCCGUAACUGACGCUGAGGCGCGAAAGUGUGGGGAGCAAACAGGAUUAGAUACCCUGGUAGUCCACGCGGUAAACGAUGAAUGCUAGGUGUUGCGGGUAUCGACCCCUGCAGUGCCGGAGUAAACACAAUAAGCAUUCCGCCUGGGGAGUACGGCCGCAAGGUUGAAACUCAAAGGAAUUGACGGGG